Long non-coding RNA from Gasterosteus aculeatus aculeatus (three-spined stickleback), 1488 nucleotides. The record is from Ensembl. Lineage: Eukaryota; Metazoa; Chordata; Actinopteri; Perciformes; Gasterosteidae.
UGUAGACGUAACCCUUUGAUUACGUAAGGGUUUUUGUUUAAACUCUUUGGGUGGGUGCUGGAUGGACCUUUGGAAUACAAAAGUAUUAUGAGUAGAACCUCUGUCGGUGGGUUCUAGGUGUAUACAACUGACUGCCAACCCACUUCAGGAACCGCUCAUUGGGCGCUCUUGUUGGAACCUUUUACGGAUGGUUCUAAAAAGGACCAUCUAUGUUUGGCUCUAGGAAGAACCCUGGAAAAGCAUUCCUGUCGUUACAUUUAUCAGGAACCAAGAAGGGUUCUCCUUUGGGGACAAGCUAAAGAACACUUCAUGCUCUACCAUGGCAACAGCACAACAUAUCGGCAACCACAGGACCACACUGCGGCCGCUGGCACUGCCAGAGUUGUGCCAAAGACUAAUCCGUGCCAGAGGUGACAUGGGCAAAGGGAAAGUGAGAUGGGUGGAGACAGCAUGACACACACAUGCAAAAUCACACACACACAGGGACAGACGUGUACGGACAGACAUGCCAGCGCUUCACUCUCUCCUCUCUUACAGCACAAGCGCACUGGAUAUCCUGCUAUUCUUCUUGGCUGGAGCCUCCCAUGGCGAUAGCAGUAGGAAUCCAUUCUCCACGGAUGCUGGGACAGCUGCGCUGAUAUUGAAUGAGACGCAGUUGGUUCUGCCUCGCUCUCUGCAUGUGGCUCGAGAUAAAAAACUACAUGCCACUUAAUUCAAAUCUACCCCGCCUGCUGCCAAAAUGCACACCGGCUCAUCCCGUCUUUGUCCUCGCCACCGACGAGAGCUCCCCAUUUCUUUUUUCGCAAGAAUUGCUGUAAAUUCAAGCGUGCUGACGCAUGGUGGCCCCAAGCUGACCGGAAAAAAUCCGGAGAAACGCAUCAAUCCCAGAAGGCUCCAUAAGCCCUAUAUAUGCUCCAAAAGCAAAUAAUCCACAACAUGCUACAGAUUUUGCCGCAAAAAAUAACAAAAAGUGACAUUUGACAUUGUGAGGUGAGUUAGCUUGGAUACCUUGUCUCAGAACACAACCAUCCAACAGAAAAUGGCCACAUUAAAGAAGCCGAGCCACAGUUCUUAAUGAUGGCAGUUUUUUUCUGCAGUAAGUUGGCCUGUAACUUGCUGCGUGCUAUGAAUGAAUAAGUAAAAGGAACGUGAUGUCCCAGGCAAGCGUAUGGCGCCGUGACCUCACGGCGUCCCGCGAUGAGGGGAGAAGCACCGGCACAAAACAGCAGCGCGGCCAAUCGAAUGACUCCGGUUUCACCGCCGUGCCCUCCAGACAUGAGCACACAACUCGGUUACAAGCGAGGACAAUAGAUCCGCCCCGCUUGUCAAUCAAGCGCACUAUGAGUUCAUUCUUCAGUCUGGUGUGCGAGAGCAGAGUGCUCUACUGGCUCGCUUUUAUAAACUUAUUUUUGUUGUGGGGCACCGGUGAGUUACACUGGUAUCCCAUAUAUUUAUAAUUAAGUCAAUUAAAUUAAUGUUUUCUCAAAA